UACGUAGGGUGCGAGCGUUGUCCGGAAUUAUUGGGCGUAAAGAGCUCGUAGGCGGUCUGUCGCGUCGGUCGUGAAAACUUGGGGCUUAACCCUGAGCUUGCGGUCGAUACGGGCAUGACUGGAGUUCGGCAGGGGAGACUGGAAUUCCUGGUGUAGCGGUGAAAUGCGUAGAGAUCCGGAAGAACACCGGUGGCGAAGGCGGCCUGCUGGGCUGUGGCUGACGCUGAGGCGCGACAGCGUGGGGAGCAAACAGG
Molecule: ribosomal RNA, 254 nt
Filed under: uncultured bacterium
Lineage: Bacteria
Description: partial 16S ribosomal RNA
Rfam family: Bacterial small subunit ribosomal RNA
Source: RNAcentral